This 253-nucleotide ribosomal RNA is filed under the name uncultured bacterium. RNAcentral's name for it is "partial 16S ribosomal RNA". It matches the Rfam family "Bacterial small subunit ribosomal RNA", at positions 524 to 776 of the family's 1533-position model. The record is from RNAcentral.
UACAGAGGGGGCAAGCGUUGUUCGGAAUUACUGGGCGUAAAGGGCGCGUAGGCGGCCUGCUAAGUCGAACGUGAAAUCCCCGGGCUCAACCCGGGAACUGCGUCCGAUACUGGCAGGCUUGAAUCCGGGAGAGGGAUGUGGAAUUCCAGGUGUAGCGGUGAAAUGCGUAGAUAUCUGGAGGAACACCGGUGGCGAAGGCGGCAUCCUGGACCGGCAUUGACGCUGAGGCGCGAAAGCCAGGGGAGCAAGCGGG